Molecule: transfer RNA, 116 nt
Filed under: Stenotrophomonas maltophilia
Lineage: Bacteria; Pseudomonadati; Pseudomonadota; Gammaproteobacteria; Lysobacterales; Lysobacteraceae
Description: tRNA-Leu
Source: RNAcentral
GCACGCAUUGCGGAGCGGAAAUCACCAUGAAAGCCUUGUGGCACAAGGAAUUCUGUGCGGACUUAAAAUCCGCCGGGGGCAACCCCAUGCCGGUUCGAUUCCGGCUCCGGGCACCA